CAAAGCGUAGUUUAAUUUAAUUAGAGCAUCGGCUUUGGGUGCCGAAGGUGGGAGUGUAAUUCUCGUCGUUUUGA
RNAcentral lists this transfer RNA (74 nucleotides) under Diaphus luetkeni. Its description in RNAcentral is "tRNA-Pro". It matches the Rfam family "tRNA". From Rfam's summary of the family: Transfer RNA (tRNA) molecules are approximately 80 nucleotides in length. Their secondary structure includes four short double-helical elements and three loops (D, anti-codon, and T loops). Further hydrogen bonds mediate the characteristic L-shaped molecular structure. tRNAs have two regions of fundamental functional importance: the anti-codon, which is responsible for specific mRNA codon recognition, and the 3' end, to which the tRNAs corresponding amino acid is attached (by aminoacyl-tRNA synthetases). tRNAs cope with the degeneracy of the genetic code in two manners: having more than one tRNA (with a specific anti-codon) for a particular amino acid; and 'wobble' base-pairing, i.e. permitting non-standard base-pairing at the 3rd anti-codon position. Lineage: Eukaryota; Metazoa; Chordata; Actinopteri; Myctophiformes; Myctophidae. The record is from RNAcentral.